GUAUAACUAAGGAAGUCAAGGAAACUUUAAUAUAGGUUUAAUAUUUUGCAUUAGAAAAGAAACAAUCCUAUAAAUCAUCAUUAUUUUACAAAAUUUAAAUUUGUGCCACCUGAAAACUGAUAAUCUCCUCAUAAAAUUUGAGAAAUCUGGAACAAUUUUCAGACCUCAUAAAAGUGGCAACUUUUUUCUAACUUCUUCAUUGACAAAAGACUUUUUACCUGAAGAGUACUUGUGUAGCUAUAAUGUGCCCUCCUUUUGGUAGCUAGACCCUUUACUAGGGAACCAAAAACAAUUUAUAAGUGUUCUGAACAUUGGAAUUUAAACAUUCACUUCGCUGCACUGUGUUCAUACCUUUAACAUUUUCAAGGUUGAGCAUAGCAAUACUGCUGUAGAUAGUUCGUGUUCAACCUACGAGAACAGCCUACUCUACUAGGUGGUCUAUAUCUCACCUAUAAUACUACGCCACUUAAAGCCUACUAAUGCAAAGCCUACCAUGAUUUAUUGUUAUUUAACUUUAUAAAGUACCUGUGUGGGUGGGCGUGCAAUUUGCAGAGCAUUGCCCUCUACCAUAAAAUGUAGGUUCUAACAGGGAAAGAAAAAAACAGUAGUCAAAUGGUUGUAAACACUUGUUUUAAAAGGAUAUAUUUACCAAUCGUGUAUUUAAAAUUUUAUUUCUUUUUUACUGUUUUUAAUGCUCUGGAACAUUACAACUUUCUUUUUUCCUCCUUCAAUCUCUCUUUAAUGGAAAAGGAACGUUAACCUUUAUUUUUCCAGUUCCUUAUAUCUUUUUCUUUUAUUACCAUGAAGAGUUACAGGCUUCAUUUCCCCUACCCUUUUAACAGAUGAUUGCAAUGGUGACUGACACCUAAUAGAAGAAAGAAAGGCAGAGUCUAGCAACUACACACCUUCUCCUUGCUCUUCCUAGCCCCACACAAUUACUUCUGAUACCCAAAAUAAAAGCAGCCAUCAAUAGCAGCCAGUCAGCUCAGUCUUCUCUCUUCAAAUAAACAUUGCAUCCCCCAACAACUCAGAUACAGCAAGUGUCACAGCUCCCUGAUUUCCAGGAGGAAAGCAGGAAGUUUCCUUUCCCCCAUUUCCUCCUAACUGCUCAUUUAGCACUUGAAAAGCAAGCUGGUGGCUCUGCUUGUCCACGCUUCCCGUGGUCCUCAUUGCUCUCUCUGCAUUCCCCCUAUACUCACAUUUAAAUUCCUGUUCUUCCUCAUUUCACUUCCCUGUAUCACACUCAUCCUAGCUGGGCUUUUUGUUACAUCGGAGCUGUCCCACUUGGCCACUAAUCCGGAAUCUGAAAAAACUCAUCAGAACACAGCCACGUAUUACAGCCCCAGUCACCACAGCUCC
This 1359-nucleotide long non-coding RNA is filed under the name Strigops habroptila (Kakapo). RNAcentral describes it as "lncRNA (ENSSHBG00005020423.1)". The record is from RNAcentral. Lineage: Eukaryota; Metazoa; Chordata; Aves; Psittaciformes; Psittacidae.